CAGUGGCCGGAAAAAACGGGCACAUCGCGUUCUGGCUGCCUUCGAACGCACAGAACGCGUUUUGGCUGUUUUUAAACGCUCGAGGGGUUUUAGUCGGUAGGUCCGAGGACUCCUUCCUCGGAAAUCCGACACUACCCAGUCGUACGGACGGCUGGGUGUCUUUUGAAGAUUUCCCCUCUUCCACGAAA
This is a non-coding RNA of Agrilus planipennis (emerald ash borer), 188 nucleotides long. The record is from Rfam. NCBI's taxonomy places the organism in Eukaryota, Metazoa, Arthropoda, Insecta, Coleoptera, Buprestidae.